UACAGAGGAGCCAAGCGUUGUCCGGAUUGACUGGGCGUAAAGCGCGCGCAGGCGGCCUCGCGCGCCCGACGUGAAAGCCCCCGGCUUAACCGGGGAGGGUCGUUGGGGACGGCGGGGCUUGAGGGCGGGAGAGGGUGGUGGAAUUCCCGGUGUAGUGGUGAAAUGCGUAGAGAUCGGGAGGAACACCCGUGGCGAAGGCGGCCACCUGGGCCGACCCUGACGCUGAGGCGCGAAGGCGUGGGGAGCGAACGGG
RNAcentral lists this ribosomal RNA (253 nucleotides) under uncultured bacterium. Its description in RNAcentral is "partial 16S ribosomal RNA". It matches the Rfam family "Bacterial small subunit ribosomal RNA", at positions 524 to 776 of the family's 1533-position model. The record is from RNAcentral.